GACGAACGCUGGCGGCGUGCUUAACACAUGCAAGUCGAGCGGUAAGGCCCCUUUGGGAGUACACGAGCGGCGAACGGGUGAGUAACACGUGGGUGACCUGCCCUCAGCUCUGGGAUAAGCCUGGGAAACUGGGUCUAAUACCGGAUAUGACUCCAUGACGCAUGUUGUGGGGUGGAAAGCCUUGUGCGGCUGGGGAUGGGCCCGCGGCCUAUCAGCUUGUUGGUGGGGNGAUGGCCUACCAAGGCGACGACGGGUAGCCGGCCUGAGAGGGCGACCGGCCACACUGGGACUGAGACACGGCCCAGACUCCUACGGGAGGCAGCAGUGGGGAAUCUUGCGCAAUGGGCGAAAGCCUGACGCAGCGACGCCGCGUGAGGGAUGACGGCCUGGU
RNAcentral lists this ribosomal RNA (391 nucleotides) under uncultured bacterium. RNAcentral's name for it is "bacterial SSU rRNA". It matches the Rfam family "Bacterial small subunit ribosomal RNA", at positions 28 to 420 of the family's 1533-position model. The record is from RNAcentral.